AUACGGAGGGGGCUAGCGUUGUUCGGAAUUACUGGGCGUAAAGCGCGCGUAGGCGGAUUGAUCAGUCAGGGGUGAAAUCCCGAGGCUUAACCUCGGAACUGCCUUUGAUACUGUCAAUCUUGAGUUCGAGAGAGGUGAGUGGAAUUCCUAGUGUAGAGGUGAAAUUCGUAGAUAUUAGGAAGAACACCAGUGGCGAAGGCGGCUUACUGGCUCGAUACUGACGCUGAGGUGCGAAAGCGUGGGGAGCAAACAGGAUUAGAUACCCUAGUAGUCC
RNAcentral lists this ribosomal RNA (274 nucleotides) under uncultured bacterium. RNAcentral describes it as "partial 16S ribosomal RNA". It matches the Rfam family "Bacterial small subunit ribosomal RNA", at positions 523 to 796 of the family's 1533-position model. The record is from RNAcentral.